Molecule: ribosomal RNA, 110 nt
Filed under: Prolemur simus (greater bamboo lemur)
Lineage: Eukaryota; Metazoa; Chordata; Mammalia; Primates; Lemuridae
Source: RNAcentral
GUCUACGGCCAUACCACCCAGAACGCGCCCUAUCUUGUCUGAUCUCAGAAGCUAAGCAGAGUCAGGCCUGGUUAGUACUUGGUUGGGAGAAAGUAGAUUAGCGGUUGCCU